This 154-nucleotide unclassified non-coding RNA is filed under the name soil metagenome. RNAcentral describes it as "partial internal transcribed spacer 1". The record is from RNAcentral.
CAGAGUUAUCCAACUCCCAAACCCAUGUGAACUUGUCUCUUUGUUGCCUCGGCGCAAGCUACCCGGGACCCAGCGCCCCGGGCGGCCCGCCGGCGGACAAACCAAAACUCUUGUUAUCUUAGUUGAUUAUCUGAGUGUCUUAUUUAAUAAGUCA